AUUUGAAAUCUGGCGCAAGCCCGAGUUGUAAUUUGUAGAGGAUGCUUCUGGAUAGCGGCCGGUCUAAGUUCCUUGGAACAGGACGUCAUAGAGGGUGAGAAACCCGUAUGUGACUGGCUUGCACCCUCCACGUAGCUCCUUCGACGAGUCGAGUUGUUUGGGAGUGCAGCUCUAAAUGGGAGGUAAAUUUCUUCUAAAGCUAAAUACCGGCCAGAGACCGAUAGCGCACAAGUAGAGUGAUCGAAAGAUGAAAAGCACUUUGGAAAGAGAGUUAAAAAGCACGUGAAAUUGUUGAAAGGGAAGCGCCCGCAACCAGACUUUGCGGCAGUGUUCGGCCGGUCUUCUGACCGGUUUACUCGCUGUCGGGAGGCCAUCAUCGUCUGGGACCGCUGGAUAAGACCUUAGGAAUGUGGCUCCCCUCGGGGAGUGUUAUGACCUCUGGAGAUGCCGCGCGCCCCGGGCGAGGACUGCGAUUCGCCAAGUAUGAUGCCGAACCGCUUGUCGCCUCCCCCGUCUUGAAACUCGGACUACGGAGUCUAAAGUCUAUGCGAGUGUUCGGUCGGCAAACCCCAGCGCGUAUCUUAAGUGAACGGAUCUGGGGAACUUUUUUGUGCACCAUCGACCGAUCCAAAUGUCCCCGGAUGCGAUUUUGAUUCAUAACGUAGCUGGUGUGUACCCCCAAAGACGGUCACAAUAUGCCCUGAAUAGGCUUGGAGCCAUAGGUAAACUCCUGGGGGACGGCUCACCGAGGGAUUCUGAUCGUUCCAUAGCCGAUCGCGCAGAUUCUGGGCUUAAGGACGGAAUAGCACUCAACUCAGAAGCCAUUCUAGUACGCCUCGGUCCCGGGCGCCACAUUUCCCUUCAGGUAAUAACAAACGGUUCUCGAGCUUAUUGAUGGAG
RNAcentral lists this ribosomal RNA (900 nucleotides) under Pseudocercospora macadamiae. Its description in RNAcentral is "eukaryotic LSU rRNA". It matches the Rfam family "Eukaryotic large subunit ribosomal RNA", at positions 113 to 939 of the family's 3401-position model. The record is from RNAcentral. Lineage: Eukaryota; Fungi; Ascomycota; Dothideomycetes; Mycosphaerellales; Mycosphaerellaceae.